Molecule: ribosomal RNA, 390 nt
Filed under: uncultured bacterium
Lineage: Bacteria
Description: bacterial SSU rRNA
Rfam family: Bacterial small subunit ribosomal RNA
Source: RNAcentral
GACGAACGCUGGCGGCGUGCUUAACACAUGCAAGUCGAGCGGUAAGGCCCUUUCGGGGGUACACGAGCGGCGAACGGGUGAGUAACACGUGGGUGACCUGCCCUCAGCUCUGGGAUAAGCCUGGGAAACCGGGUCUAAUACCGGAUAUGACUCCAUGACGCAUGUUGUGGGGUGGAAAGCCUUGUGCGGCUGAGGAUGGGCCCGCGGCCUAUCAGCUUGUUGGUGGGGUGAUGGCCUACCAAGGCGACGACGGGUAGCCGGCCUGAGAGGGCGACCGGCCACACUGGGACUGAGACACGGCCCAGACUCCUACGGGAGGCAGCAGUGGGGGAUUUUGCACAAUGGACGAAAGUCUGAUGCAGUGACGCCGCGUGGGGAUGACGGCCUGGU